AGAGUGAACGCUGGCGGCAGGCCUAAUACAUGCAAGUCGAACGGCAGCACGGCAGAGCUUGCUCUGUGGGUGGCGAGUGGCGGACGGGUGAGGAAUACAUGGGAAUCUGCCCAGUCGUGGGGGAUAACGUAUGGAAACGUACGCUAAUACCGCAUGCGCCCUUCGGGGGAAAGCCGGGGACCUUCGGGCCUGGCGCGAUUGGAUGAGCCCAUGUCGGAUUAGCUAGUUGGCGGGGUAACGGCCCACCAAGGCGACGAUCAGUAGCUGGUCUGAGAGGAUGAUCAGCCACACUGGGACUGAGACACGGCCCAGACUCCUACGGGAGCAGCAGUGGGGAAUAUUGGACAAUGGGCGCGAAGCCUGAUCCAGCCAUGCCGCGUGAGUGAUG
This 388-nucleotide ribosomal RNA is filed under the name uncultured soil bacterium. RNAcentral's name for it is "bacterial SSU rRNA". It matches the Rfam family "Bacterial small subunit ribosomal RNA", at positions 26 to 410 of the family's 1533-position model. The record is from RNAcentral.